This 253-nucleotide ribosomal RNA is filed under the name uncultured bacterium. RNAcentral's name for it is "partial 16S ribosomal RNA". It matches the Rfam family "Bacterial small subunit ribosomal RNA", at positions 524 to 776 of the family's 1533-position model. The record is from RNAcentral.
UACGGGGGGGGCAAGCGUUGUUCGGAAUUACUGGGCGUAAAGGGCUCGUAGGCGGCCAACUAAGUCAGACGUGAAAUCCCUCGGCUUAACCGGGGAACUGCGUCUGAUACUGGAUGGCUUGAGUUUGGGAGAGGGAUGCGGAAUUCCAGGUGUAGCGGUGAAAUGCGUAGAUAUCUGGAGGAACACCGGUGGCGAAGGCGGUUGCCUGGAGCUUUGCUGACGCUGAUGCGCGAAAGCGUGGGGAGCGAUCCGG